Molecule: ribosomal RNA, 520 nt
Filed under: uncultured Entrophospora
Lineage: Eukaryota; Fungi; Glomeromycota; Glomeromycetes; Entrophosporales; Entrophosporaceae
Description: SSU rRNA
Rfam family: Eukaryotic small subunit ribosomal RNA
Source: RNAcentral
AGCAGCCGCGGUAAUUCCAGCUCCAAUAGCGUAUAUUAAAGUUGUUGCAGUUAAAAAGCUCGUAGUUGAAUUUCGGGAUUGACACAUCGGUCGUGCCUUAAGGGGUAUGAACUGGUGUAGUCAAUUUCUCACCUUCUGGAGAACCGCGAUGCCCUUAAUUGGGUGUCGCGGGGAACCAGGACCUUUACUUUGAAAAAUUAGAGUGUUUAAAGCAGGCAUUUUGCUUGAAUACAUUAGCAUGGAAUAAUAAAAUAGGACGGCAUGAUUCUAUUUUGUUGGUUUCUAGGAUCACCGUAAUGAUUAAUAGGGAUAGUUGGGGGCAUUAGUAUUCAAUUGUCAGAGGUGAAAUUCUUGGAUUUAUUGAAGACUAACUACUGCGAAAGCAUUUGCCAAGGAUGUUUUCAUUAAUCAAGAACGAAAGUUAGGGGAUCGAAGACGAUCAGAUACCGUCGUAGUCUUAACCAUAAACUAUGCCGACUAGGAAUCAGACGAUGUUAAUUUUUUAAUGACUCGUUUGGCU